Molecule: ribosomal RNA, 167 nt
Filed under: Kopua minima
Lineage: Eukaryota; Metazoa; Chordata; Actinopteri; Blenniiformes; Gobiesocidae
Also listed under: 1 other name
Description: Aspasma minima partial 12S rRNA
Source: RNAcentral
AACCGCGGUUAUACGAAAGACCCAAGCAGACAAUACCCGGCGUAAAGAGUGGUUUAUUUAAAUUUUACUAGAGCCAAAUACCCUCAAGACUGUUAUACGUGUUCGAGAAUAUAGAAGCCCACCCACGAAAGUAGCUUUAUAAAAUAAAUACCACUAAAGCUAAGACA